UUUUAAUGCCUCAAAAUAGUCAAAAAUCUGUUCAUAAAUAAUUUUCAUGCUUUAGAUUCUCUCAUCAUUACAUAGAAUUCAACAAUAAGCCAACAAGUUCCAGAUGGCACAGGUCCCCUAUAGAAAGAAAACAUAUACUUUUCAUUAGCAGCAUUAUGUAUUCUUGUAUUAUUCUUUGGUCAAGCUACAUUUAAAACAUUUGUAUCUAAGAAAUCUUCCUAUGUAUAAUUUAUCAUCACUAUAACUUAAAUCGAUGCUUGCAAUACCCAACCUAAGAUGUAGCCUACAAUUGAUUUUGAGCCACCUAUAACUCAAUGAGAUUCACCAUAUAAGGAGAGCAACCACAGAACCUGUUCAGAACUGCAAGAGCAAAGA
Molecule: long non-coding RNA, 375 nt
Organism: Quercus lobata
Lineage: Eukaryota; Viridiplantae; Streptophyta; Magnoliopsida; Fagales; Fagaceae
Exons: 2
Source: RefSeq, a predicted model, not a curated record